RNAcentral lists this ribosomal RNA (216 nucleotides) under uncultured bacterium. RNAcentral describes it as "partial 16S ribosomal RNA". It matches the Rfam family "Bacterial small subunit ribosomal RNA", at positions 582 to 793 of the family's 1533-position model. The record is from RNAcentral.
GUUAAGUCAGAUGUGAAAGCCCGGGGCGUCAACCUCGGAAUAGCAUUUGAAACUAGGCAGACUAGAGUACUGUAGAGGGGGUAGGAAUUUCAGGUGUAGCGGUGAAAUAGCGUAGAGAUCUGAAGGAAUACCGGUGGCGAAGGCGGCCCCCUCGGACAGAUACUGACACUCAGAUGCGAAAGCGUGGGGAGCAAACAGGAUUAGAUACCCUGGUAG